CAGCAGUAUGAACAUCGGGGACAAAGCUGCUCCACACAAUGGGGGAGGGGGGGGAAGGGCCUGAGUGCGAGUGCGGCUUAGCGUUGUUCGAUUGCAAUGAUUGUUGCAUCGAGCGCAGUGUGGAGUGGGCCUUAGGGAGCGUAUUACGUAAACAGGUGUAAAAUAGAUCUUUAUGCCGCCGUAUUAGCAUAAUGUUUGUUGUCGAAAUAUUCGCGUGGCGAAGCUGAAUAUAUAAUGAGCAGACGAGUCGGCAGAUUCUCAACCCUGUGCCUUGGUCGUCGCUGUAGCAAGGAGGCAACAGCAAGUCUGGAAUAAGAAUCAGUUUGUGGCCGUAAUGAAGACAAAUGCGUGGUAGCAUUGUUGCAUGUUGCAGCGCGCGCGACAAAUUGUCGUUUGUUGAAGCUGGCGAGGCUCCAGGCGGCCGGGACGGCGACUCGUCACUUCGUAUUCCAAGCCACGCUUAAUGUCACCUCCUAAUGUUAUUUGCCUUUUAAGCUAAAGAAAAGUAUGAAUAAAUUACAAUAAAUUUAUCAUUCGUUUA
This is a non-coding RNA of Plutella xylostella (diamondback moth), 541 nucleotides long. NCBI's taxonomy places the organism in Eukaryota, Metazoa, Arthropoda, Insecta, Lepidoptera, Plutellidae. The record is from RefSeq and is a predicted model, not a curated record.